Perognathus longimembris pacificus (Pacific pocket mouse) is the source of this 105-nucleotide small nuclear RNA. Lineage: Eukaryota; Metazoa; Chordata; Mammalia; Rodentia; Heteromyidae. The record is from RefSeq and is a predicted model, not a curated record.
GUUCAUUUUGGCAGCACAUAUACUAAAAUUAGAAUGAUACAGAAAAGAUUAGUAUGGCCCAUGAGCAAAUAUGACACAUAAAUUUGUGAAGUGUUCCACAUUUUU